GUGCCAGACUCCUACGGGAGGCAGCAGUGAGGAAUAUUGGUCAAUGGGCGGAAGCCUGAACCAGCCAAGUCGCGUGAGGGAUUAAGGCCCUGCGGGUCGUAAACCUCUUUUGCCGGGGAGCAGUGGUCCGGACGCGUCCGGACCGGGAGAGUACCCGGAGAAAAAGCAUCGGCUAACUCCGUGCCAGCAGCCGCGGUAAUACGGAGGAUGCGAGCGUUAUCCGGAUUUAUUGGGUUUAAAGGGUGCGUAGGCGGAAUGCCAAGUCAGGGGUAAAAUCGCGGGGCUCAACCUGGCUCCGCCGUUGAAACUGGCGUUCUUGAGUGGGCGAGAAGUAUGCGGAAUGCGUGGUGUAGCGGUGAAAUGCAUAGAUAUCACGCAGAACUCCGAUUGCGAAGGCAGCAUACCGGCGCCCAACUGGCGCUGAAGCACGAAAGCGUGGGUAUCGAACAGGAUUAGAUACCCCAGUA
This 467-nucleotide ribosomal RNA is filed under the name uncultured bacterium. RNAcentral's name for it is "bacterial SSU rRNA". It matches the Rfam family "Bacterial small subunit ribosomal RNA", at positions 328 to 792 of the family's 1533-position model. The record is from RNAcentral.